CUCCCACCUUACAUUUACGAAUUUUCAGAGCAAGGGUUUUUUGUUGAUGUUGUUUUAAAAUCGGCGCCCCCCCGCCCGCCCGUCCCUCAUUCCUCUUCUGGAAUUGGGGCCUUGGAUCCCGCGCUUCCCCAGGAAACAAUCAGAAUAAUUUCCAACUGGGCAGAAAGGAAAUGGAAUUUCAAAUGAAAGAUGAACAAGAGGGGCUUUGAUGGCAAAGCCUCAGGGACGCGCGCGCGCCCUCGCCAUCCUUUUCCUUUCCACCCACAGAUUCUGGGUUCUGCGGCCUAUUGAGGUGGUGCGCCGGGCGGCAGCCUCUCCCCUCCUUCUCGCCCCGCGGGCGGCCGGGGCCGCCUCUGCACCCGGCGCGCGCGGGCCCUUUAAGAGCUACACCAGCCGAGCUGCAGUUUGACAUCAGCCGGCCGGCGAGGGCGCGCCUGGAGCCGGAGCACGUGCCAGGAUGUUUUAUUGCCGCCGCGGCUGCGGCCGGGCCGGGAGGAUGUGUGUGUGCGUGCGUGUGUGAGUGUGUGUGCGCGCGCCCCGGGGGCAGGGAGGCGGGGGGCGGCGGCGGGCGGCGGAGCGCGGGGGCUGGUUCUUGGUCCCCGGGAGAAGCCAAGAAGGUAUCAGAAUGGCUUGUGGGUUUGGCUUAAAGCUACAGAAAAGACAGAGUGAGAGAAGAAAAAAGCCUGCCAGAGCCGAGGUAGCUGCACGGCCAAGAGCUAUCCUGGGAGAGCUAUUGAAAGAGCCUUGAGCUUUUAUGGGGACCAGAGAAGAUGGGAUAAUGUUGGAGCCCAAAGCCAUUGAGCUGCUGGCUGACGUCACACAUAGCAGAGGGAGAGCCCUCCAUGGCCAUGGACGGAGCCAGCACUCACAUUCAAGUAUUUGAUCUCCUUGUCCUCGGUCGCGAGUCCCCCUCUUCACCUGGCACUUGGGACAGACCUAGACUUGGUGUCUAGGACUUCUUGUUAUCUGGACAGAAGGAUCGAGUGUCAGCUUGUUUUCUUUGAGACACGUGGACCUGUGUUAAUGGUGCUGAGGAGGAAUUACAUGAUGUUGCAGGUGAUAAAGCAGAAAUAAGGAAUCCAUACUCUUUUGAAGCCUACAUUUAAACUGGAGAGAUGGACAAGCAAAAUAAAUGGAGUGGGGAAGGCGACUGUGAAGGCAACCUCCUUGAAGAUGGCAGUGAGUCUUCAAAGAGUCGCUUCAAUGGAUGGAGGCCAAGGUGACUUCAGACGUGGACAGGACAUCUCGUGAGGAGACCCUGCUUGGCUGGAAGGUUCUCCUAGCAUUGACUUGGUUGUGCUAAGAAACGUAGGCAUCCGGUGUUGUUCUUCAGGGUCAUCGCAAGCAAAGUCCGCAGAUGAUUUGGAGCAUGUGGGGCUUGCUGUAAAGGCUGCCUGGGAGAGGGCACCCCCACCCCCCGCACUGCUCACACUGUCCCCAGCCCGCCAGUGGAACCAAAGACUUCAGAUCUCCACUGUGCCUUAUUCCCCAUAACUGGGACCUCGUCUCACAUCCCUCACCCACAGCCAGCACACGCAGGACAUCGAGUUACCAGCUCUGGCUUCUCCCGGGUGCCCUUGACCAAGCAAGCACGGCCCUCCCUCCUCCAUCGCCAAGGAGAUUCAGGAAUUUGUGGGACCCACCUCAUGUCGGGUUAUUGAGUAACUGGUGGGGCAUUGAAUGUCAGGGCUGAGAAAACAAAGCUGCCUACCUGUUGGGCCAGAUGACUUCACAGCCCCAGCUGGUCUUCUGGCGCGGGCUUUCUCCAGCUUCCGUCAGUGACGCCUUCCAACAAGCCCCGCCCGCAUCGUGCUGUUCUAAACACCCAACUUGAGGAUUCUCGCUGUGCUCAGGGAGAAGGAGAACAGGCUCAACCACCACCAGCCAAAGGCACAUCAGGUAUCAGGGUAAUUGAUGAGUAGGGAUUGGGUUGAUGGAAGAAGACCCCCAUCCGCCGUCUAAUUGGGCUGUGGGUGAAAAACAAAGAUGUGGCACGUUUGGGGAGUAAAAUCUGGCUGGCACGUGUUCGCCCGCUUCUGGACUUGUGGCUCUUCUCUCAGUCGGCUUGGCGUUGGAGUCCCCUGAGCAUGGGCAACUCCCCUGUCAUCUCCCUAAGGGAGGGAUCUGGUGACUUCAUCUCUGAAGCUUCCUGGUGUGCAGCACAGAACCAGUGUCCGAGGGUUGGAUUAGACCUUGGAGAAGUCAUGUCUUCUCUCUGGCCCUUGACUUCCCUAGCUGUAAAAUGGGCAUAAUGCCUUCAGUCCUUUCUCCUUCCCAAGCUUUUAAAGAAGACUCUAAGGGCGCCUGGGUGGCUCAGUGGGUUAAAGCCUCUGCCUUCGGCUCGGGUCAUGAUCCCAGGGUCCUGGGAUC
Molecule: long non-coding RNA, 2370 nt
Organism: Mustela erminea (ermine)
Lineage: Eukaryota; Metazoa; Chordata; Mammalia; Carnivora; Mustelidae
Exons: 11
Source: RefSeq, a predicted model, not a curated record